This 76-nucleotide transfer RNA is filed under the name Candidatus Zixiibacteriota bacterium. RNAcentral describes it as "candidate division Zixibacteria bacterium tRNA-Thr". It matches the Rfam family "tRNA". Rfam says of the family: Transfer RNA (tRNA) molecules are approximately 80 nucleotides in length. Their secondary structure includes four short double-helical elements and three loops (D, anti-codon, and T loops). The record is from RNAcentral. Lineage: Bacteria; Pseudomonadati; Candidatus Zixiibacteriota.
GCUCGCGUAGCUCAGUCGGUAGAGCGCAUCCUUGGUAAGGAUGAGGUCACCGGUUCGAUCCCGGUCGUGAGCUCCC